This 247-nucleotide long non-coding RNA is filed under the name Capsicum annuum. Its description in RNAcentral is "long non-coding RNA (CANN_LNC020864)". Lineage: Eukaryota; Viridiplantae; Streptophyta; Magnoliopsida; Solanales; Solanaceae. The record is from RNAcentral.
UACGAUUAUUUGAUAGAUUGAUAUUUUACAUAAAGACGAAUCAGAGUUUUAAAUUGGUUAGGCGCAAAUAAUAGAAUGAUCUUUUACAACAACAUAUUAAGUGUAAUCGCAAAUCUUACCCAACCUUGAGAGCUAGAAGGAUUGUUUCUAAUAGACCAUCAACUCAAGAAAAAGCAUAUCAAAAUAGUUUAGAAAAAAAAUAAUGAAAGUGAAGAAAGCAUGACAAAAGAUACUACUAAAAGCGAGA